This 125-nucleotide small nuclear RNA is filed under the name Chinchilla lanigera (long-tailed chinchilla). RNAcentral's name for it is "U4 spliceosomal RNA (ENSCLAG00000020791.1)". The stretch from base 1 to 72 matches the Rfam family "U4 spliceosomal RNA". Rfam says of the family: U4 small nuclear RNA (U4 snRNA) is a component of the major U2-dependent spliceosome. The structure of U4 snRNA from yeast and human has been reported. U4 snRNA presents a k-turn RNA motif in the 5p-SL related to recognition of Snu13 protein. Lineage: Eukaryota; Metazoa; Chordata; Mammalia; Rodentia; Chinchillidae. The record is from RNAcentral.
AGCUUCGUGCAGUGGCAGUAUUGUAGGCAAUGAGGUUUAUCUGAGGCAUAAUUAUUGCUAACUGAAACAAAUGGAGCAGGGACAAGUGGAUAUCCACAUGCAACAGGAGGAAGGUGGACACCUGU